AUUGAACGCUGGCGGCAGGCCUAACACAUGCAAGUCGAGCGGAUGAAGGGAGCUUGCUCCUGGAUUCAGCGGCGGACGGGUGAGUAAUGCCUAGGAAUCUGCCUGGUAGUGGGGGAUAACGUCCGGAAACGGGCGCUAAUACCGCAUACGUCCUGAGGGAGAAAGUGGGGGAUCUUCGGACCUCACGCUAUCAGAUGAGCCUAGGUCGGAUUAGCUAGUUGGUGGGGUAAAGGCCUACCAAGGCGACGAUCCGUAACUGGUCUGAGAGGAUGAUCAGUCACACUGGAACUGAGACAAGGUCCAGACUCCUACGGGAGGCAGCAGUGGGGAAUAUUGGACAAAGGGCGAAAGCCUGAUCCAGCCAUGCCGCGUGUGUGAAGAAGGUCUUCGGAUUGUAAAGCACUUUAAGUUGGGAGGAAGGGCAGUAAGUUAAUACCUUGCUGUUUUGACGUUACCAACAGAAUAAGCACCGGCUAACUUCGUG
This 484-nucleotide ribosomal RNA is filed under the name uncultured bacterium. RNAcentral's name for it is "partial 16S ribosomal RNA". It matches the Rfam family "Bacterial small subunit ribosomal RNA", at positions 30 to 507 of the family's 1533-position model. The record is from RNAcentral.